GUAGGUGGCAAGUGUUGUCCGGAAUUAUUGGGCGUAAAGCGCGCGCAGGCGGUUCUUUAAGUCUGAUGUGAAAGCCCACGGCUCAACCGUGGAGGGUCAUUGGAAACUGGAGAACUUGAGUACAGAAGAGGAAAGCGGAAUUCCACGUGUAGCGGUGAAAUGCGUAGAGAUGUGGAGGAACACCAGUGGCGAAGGCGGCUUUCUGGUCUGUAACUGACGCUGAGGCGCGAAAGCGUGGGGAGCAAACAGGAUUAGAUACCCUGGUAGUCCACGCCGUAAACGAUGAGUGCUAAGUGUUAGGGGGGUUUCCGCCCCCCUUAGUGCUGCAGCUAACGCAUUAAGCACUCCGCCUGGGAGUACGGUCCGCAAGGCUG
This 374-nucleotide ribosomal RNA is filed under the name uncultured organism. RNAcentral's name for it is "partial 16S ribosomal RNA". It matches the Rfam family "Bacterial small subunit ribosomal RNA", at positions 527 to 896 of the family's 1533-position model. The record is from RNAcentral.